RNAcentral lists this transfer RNA (75 nucleotides) under Siphoviridae sp. ct8TV20. RNAcentral describes it as "tRNA-OTHER". It matches the Rfam family "tRNA". Rfam says of the family: Transfer RNA (tRNA) molecules are approximately 80 nucleotides in length. The record is from RNAcentral. Lineage: Duplodnaviria; Heunggongvirae; Uroviricota; Caudoviricetes.
UCCUGUAUGGCUGGCUGGUAACAGCACUGCAAAAGUCAAGUAGAAACCGCCGGUUCGAUUCCGGCUACAGGACCA